GGGAAACUGCCUGAUGGAGGGGGAUAACUACUGGAAACGGUAGCUAGUACCGCAUAACCUCGCAAGAGCAAAGAGGGGGACCUUAGGGCCUCUCGCCAUCAGAUGUGCCCAGAUGGGAUUAGCUAGUAGGUGAGGUAAUGGCUCACCUAGGCGACGAUCCCUAGCUGGUCUGAGAGGAUGACCAGCCACACUGGAACUGAGACACGGUCCAGACUCCUACGGGAGGCAGCAGUGGGGAAUAUUGCACAAUGGGCGCAAGCCUGAUGCAGCCAUGCCGCGUGUGUGAAGAAGGCCUUCGGGUUGUAAAGCACUUUCAGCGAGGAGGAAGGCGAUAAGGUUAAUAACCUUAUCGAUUGACGUUACUCGCAGAAGAAGCACCGGCUAACUCCGUGCCAGCAGCCGCGGUAAUACGGAGGGUGCAAGCGUUAAUCGGAAUGACUGGGCGUAAAGCGCACGCAGGCGGUCUGUUAAGUUGGAUGUGAAAUCCCCGGGCUUAACCUGGGAACUGCAUUCAAAACUGACAGGCUAGAGUCUUGUAGAGGGGGGUAGAAUUCCAGGU
Molecule: ribosomal RNA, 559 nt
Filed under: uncultured bacterium
Lineage: Bacteria
Description: bacterial SSU rRNA
Rfam family: Bacterial small subunit ribosomal RNA
Source: RNAcentral